CUUUUGUCAAUUUCAUUUAUAUCGUCUUCCAUUUUAGAAAUAUGCUUGGAGAAGUUCAUGAGUAGAAACAUGCUCUAUAGAUGAAGGGGAUAAAGAUCAAGCCAGAAGCCAAACUACAUAUUGGACCUGAAUGUGGGGAUCUGGUGAAUGUAAACUGGUUGAUCUAGUUUCCUUGGUUUUAUUUUCAGGGAUUUUCCCGUACAAACUGUACUAUUGCUAACUUACCAAAUUCAGAAGUAGCUUAAGAUAGAUUCCAGUUGAAGGCACUUUGUCUUUAUUAAUAAGAAAAGCUUAGGUUGGCAAGAAACUUAAGUUGUCCUCAAAAUAUAAUAAUUUGGAGAAAGGCUCCAACAUAUUAAUAAUAAUAUAUGUGAAACUGAAUAUUAUUGUGCAUUAGUGUCAAUUUUCAGAAUUUAACAACUGAUGAUGAUAUAAUGAAACAUGUUAAUUGCUAGAGGAAGAUUGUUUCUGGGAAAAAAUGUUGUCCAAAGGUGUGGCUGUUCAUUAACUUGAAAUGACCAUGGGAAAUUAGGUACCUAUUGAAUAACCAUUUAUCAAUUGGUUCUAGGAGCUGAGUCCAUUUAAGGGGCCUUGCAUAAUCUAAACUCUUGGAAAACCUAACUUCUUGCAUUGAUAUUUUUUUCUGCUUUGUUUUGUGCUUUACUGUAUUGACACUGUAAUUGACUUUUUACUUUACU
RNAcentral lists this small RNA (698 nucleotides) under Vigna angularis var. angularis. RNAcentral describes it as "Non-protein coding transcript". Lineage: Eukaryota; Viridiplantae; Streptophyta; Magnoliopsida; Fabales; Fabaceae. The record is from RNAcentral.